This 1284-nucleotide ribosomal RNA is filed under the name Microbacterium esteraromaticum. RNAcentral's name for it is "bacterial SSU rRNA". It matches the Rfam family "Bacterial small subunit ribosomal RNA", at positions 104 to 1399 of the family's 1533-position model. Lineage: Bacteria; Bacillati; Actinomycetota; Actinomycetes; Micrococcales; Microbacteriaceae. The record is from RNAcentral.
GGGUGAGUAACACGUGAGCAACCUGCCCCUGACUCUGGGAUAAGCGCUGGAAACGGUGUCUAAUACUGGAUAUGUCCCAUCACCGCAUGGUGUGUGGGUGGAAAGAUUUUUCGGUUGGGGAUGGGCUCGCGGCCUAUCAGCUUGUUGGUGAGGUAAUGGCUCACCAAGGCGUCGACGGGUAGCCGGCCUGAGAGGGUGACCGGCCACACUGGGACUGAGACACGGCCCAGACUCCUACGGGAGGCAGCAGUGGGGAAUAUUGCACAAUGGGCGGAAGCCUGAUGCAGCAACGCCGCGUGAGGGAUGACGGCCUUCGGGUUGUAAACCUCUUUUAGCAGGGAAGAAGCGAGAGUGACGGUACCUGCAGAAAAAGCACCGGCUAACUACGUGCCAGCAGCCGCGGUAAUACGUAGGGUGCAAGCGUUAUCCGGAAUUAUUGGGCGUAAAGAGCUCGUAGGCGGUCUGUCGCGUCUGCUGUGAAAUUCCGAGGCUCAACCUCGGGCUUGCAGUGGGUACGGGCAGACUAGAGUGCGGUAGGGGAGAUUGGAAUUCCUGGUGUAGCGGUGGAAUGCGCAGAUAUCAGGAGGAACACCGAUGGCGAAGGCAGAUCUCUGGGCCGUAACUGACGCUGAGGAGCGAAAGGGUGGGGAGCAAACAGGCUUAGAUACCCUGGUAGUCCACCCCGUAAACGUUGGGAACUAGUUGUGGGGUCCUUUCCACGGAUUCCGUGACGCAGCUAACGCAUUAAGUUCCCCGCCUGGGGAGUACGGCCGCAAGGCUAAAACUCAAAGGAAUUGACGGGGACCCGCACAAGCGGCGGAGCAUGCGGAUUAAUUCGAUGCAACGCGAAGAACCUUACCAAGGCUUGACAUACACGAGAACGGGCCAGAAAUGGUCAACUCUUUGGACACUCGUGAACAGGUGGUGCAUGGUUGUCGUCAGCUCGUGUCGUGAGAUGUUGGGUUAAGUCCCGCAACGAGCGCAACCCUCGUUCUAUGUUGCCAGCACGUAAUGGUGGGAACUCAUGGGAUACUGCCGGGGUCAACUCGGAGGAAGGUGGGGAUGACGUCAAAUCAUCAUGCCCCUUAUGUCUUGGGCUUCACGCAUGCUACAAUGGCCGGUACAAUGGGCUGCGAUACCGUAAGGUGGAGCGAAUCCCAAAAAGCCGGUCCCAGUUCGGAUUGAGGUCUGCAACUCGACCUCAUGAAGUCGGAGUCGCUAGUAAUCGCAGAUCAGCAACGCUGCGGUGAAUACGUUCCCGGGUCUUGUACACACCGCCCGUCA